UACGUAGGGUGCAAGCGUUGUCCGGAAUUAUUGGGCGUAAAGAGCUCGUAGGCGGUCUGUCGCGUCGGCUGUGAAAACUCGGGGCUCAACUCCGAGCUUGCAGUCGAUACGGGCAGGCUAGAGUUCGGCAGGGGAGACUGGAAUUCCUGGUGGUAGCGGUGAAAUGCGCAGAUAUCAGGAGGAACACCAGUGGCGAAGGCGGCUCACUGGACUGGUAUUGACGCUGAGGUGCGAAAGCGUGGGGAGCAAACAGG
RNAcentral lists this ribosomal RNA (254 nucleotides) under uncultured bacterium. Its description in RNAcentral is "partial 16S ribosomal RNA". It matches the Rfam family "Bacterial small subunit ribosomal RNA", at positions 524 to 776 of the family's 1533-position model. The record is from RNAcentral.